GAUGAACGCUGGCGGCGUGCCUAAUACAUGCAAGUCGAGCGAACAGACGAGGAGCUUGCUCCUCUGACGUUAGCGGCGGACGGGUGAGUAACACGUGGAUAACCUACCUAUAAGACUGGGAUAACUUCGGGAAACCGGAGCUAAUACCGGAUAAUAUAUUGAACCGCAUGGUUCAAUAGUGAAAGACGGUUUUGCUGUCACUUAUAGAUGGAUCCGCGCCGCAUUAGCUAGUUGGUAAGGUAACGGCUUACCAAGGCAACGAUGCGUAGCCGACCUGAGAGGGUGAUCGGCCACACUAGAACUGAGACACGGUCCAGACUCCUACGGGAGGCAGCAGUAGGGAAUCGUACGCAAUGGGCGAAAGCCUGACGGAGCAACGCCGCGUGAGUGAUGAAGGUCUUCGGAUCGUAAAACUCUGUUAUUAGGGAAGAACAAAUGUGUAAGUAACUAUGCACGUCUUGACGGUACCUAAUCAGAAAGCCACGGCUAACUACGUG
Molecule: ribosomal RNA, 497 nt
Filed under: uncultured bacterium
Lineage: Bacteria
Description: partial 16S ribosomal RNA
Rfam family: Bacterial small subunit ribosomal RNA
Source: RNAcentral